RNAcentral lists this small nuclear RNA (141 nucleotides) under Dermacentor andersoni. Its description in RNAcentral is "U4 spliceosomal RNA". It matches the Rfam family "U4 spliceosomal RNA". From Rfam's summary of the family: U4 small nuclear RNA (U4 snRNA) is a component of the major U2-dependent spliceosome. The structure of U4 snRNA from yeast and human has been reported. U4 snRNA presents a k-turn RNA motif in the 5p-SL related to recognition of Snu13 protein. The record is from RNAcentral. Lineage: Eukaryota; Metazoa; Arthropoda; Arachnida; Ixodida; Ixodidae.
AGCUUUGCGCAGAGGCGGUGUCGUACCCAAUGAAGUGCUGCUGAGGGGCGACUAUUGCUAGUUGAAAACUUUUCCCAAUACCCCGCCGGGACAACGUGAAAUACCGUUGGCCAUGGCAAUUUUUGGCUGGCCCUACGUGGC